Mandrillus leucophaeus (drill) is the source of this 1959-nucleotide long non-coding RNA. RefSeq lists it as uncharacterized. NCBI's taxonomy places the organism in Eukaryota, Metazoa, Chordata, Mammalia, Primates, Cercopithecidae. The transcript is spliced from 3 exons. The record is from RefSeq and is a predicted model, not a curated record.
GGAACUGAACUUUUAGUUUCAUUGUGACAUGGUGAAUGAAUUUAUUGAGCCCCAGAAAGAAGGAAUAUUAAAGAAGAGCAAAGAAUAAUAGCUGGACAGAAGAUGGGGGUCAUUGAACCUGUAUCCUAGUUGCCAGACCUGUAAAGUGACCACGGGACCUGUAGGAGGCAGCAGAUGACUGAAAACCUGAAGUGAUGUGGCUGAGUACUGCAUGAUCUGAAGACUCUGCACUGGUGACUGCGGUAUGGGUCCAAAUUUUUCCUUAAAAAAAAACCAAAAACUAAAGAGCCCAAAACCAUACUGACCAGUCCAGGAACAGCCAUUAGGCAAACACAACUUUUUGCUACCCUGGUGUUACCGAUUUCUGAGCUCAACAGGUGAAUUCAAAGAUAUGCCUGUUUUUCCAGCAUGGGGAGCUGGAUUUGGGUCAGCUCAGGGGCAUGAUGUUGAACAGCUCUUAUGAGCUUCUGAUAAUGCCCAGGAAGUACAGAAACAACUGUCUACAAAUCUUUGAACUCAAGGCAUAUCACAGGGACAUUUGCUUUCUUCAACUAGAUACCUGUUUUCUCAUAAAGAGAAACAAUGAGAAAUGAUUUUUCACAAUGCCUCCUUAGCCCUGAGGCUCACCCAUCCCCUAGUGCUGUGUCCCAACAUUUAAAGGCCAUUGAAGUCCCACUCUAUGCCAUAUACUCUGGACAGGUUUUCUCAUUUACCCCUCAGGACAGCACUGUAAGGAUGGUAUGGUCAAUCCCAUUUCAUAGAUGGCCAAACUCAGGCUUUCAGAGCCUAAGUUUCUCCAGAUAGGUGGUAGGAUUGGAAUGAGGUUCCAUCCCUCAUCAUCCAUAGACAGCCCUGAGUAGCCUCCCUUUUAGAAGAUGGGCUUCCAGGGCUUGAGAAAUGGUCAGAUUCCACCCCUCUGCUAUUGUGGACCAAGGCAUCCUCACUCCACAACCCCUCUGGGUGAUGAAGAAGAUAGAGAAGAUUAAAUCCCGCCAUUUAUGCCAGGAGACCUGGGUGUAGGGCCACACGAGUUGGUUGCUCCUCGAAGUAGUGAGUGGGCUCAGGCAGAAGCUCAAGUAUUGGCCUUGGGACAGGGAAGCUUGAGAGAAGGAAAUUAACAUACACUAAACUACUGUAAGCAAAUGCACUUUAUAUUUCAUCUCCUUUAAUCUUAACUGCUAUUCAAGGUACCUAUCACUUUGACCAUUAUUCAUAUUAUGGUACUUUGGGAAAGUUUAUGUAAAUCGGGGAGAAAACUCUUUUCUCUCCAGAUCAGCAGCUAACUCUAGAAUUACUUAAAGUAUUUUUCCAUUUUUGUCUUGAUAUCUCCAGGACUCUCAAUGCUCGUAUUUUUCUCAAGGCCGACAGUACACACGCCCUAAGGUGUUCUUCACCAGUAUUUCUUUUUAAAUUACAAUCUGUGUAUAUCUUAUUCAUAUUAUUGAAGUUGAAAACACGUUCUAAAUGAAAAUAACACUAAGAAUUUCUAUAAAAUAAUGGGGAAACAUUUUCAAACUACAUCUCAGAUGUUAGAUUAGCAUCCACAAUUUAUAGGGCAAGCUCAGUAACAAAGCAGUUGGCAACUAAUUUUGACAUACAAUUCCAAUAGAUAUAGACAUGAACAAUGAACUUGUUGAUUAUGUUAAAACUGUAAGAACUAAUAAGAUGCUAAUAUAAAUCCUCAGAAGAAUAUUAAAUGGAAAAGACAGGUUGCAAAAGGAGAUGAUUAAUGUGAUCACACUUUUUGGCAAAGAUUAUAUGCAUGUGUAGGUGGACAUGGUCAUGUGCACCGCAUCCACAGAAACAUGUCUGGAAUGUGUGCACCAUUCUAUGGACAACAGACAUUUUGGGUCAGGAGGUAGGAGUUGAGCUAGUGAGAGGUGAAGAUUAAUUACAAUUCAUAAAUGUGCUUUUGUAUAUUUGAAAUUUGGUAUUCAGGAAUAAAAGUAUUUUGAUGAA